GGGAACAACCCCCCCAAAAAAAUUGAAAAGCCGUGGCCCCCCCCCCCAACCCAGUGGGUCCUGCAUCCUCCCCACCCAAGGCUGCCCUGGGCACGGUGCCGCCAGGUCCCCUGCCCCCCCCCCGCACCCCCCAGCCCCCACUCACGCUUGAGCUCGCUGGGGGGGACGAGGGCCUGUCCCCCCUCCCAGGCGAUCAGGAGGCCGAGCAGGGAGAGCAGCGCCAGCGCCAUGGUCCCGACCUUGUGUGUGCCCCCCCCCCGCCUGCCUGCGGGACAAACAAGCCCCAGGCCUGGGGCCAGGCAGGGCGGGCGGCCAAGACGGUGACCGGGCAUGGAUUUUCCGCCCCCCACGCUGCCAGAGCCAGCGCUGCCUUUCUUUUCCCCUGCGCCCCCCCUCCUCCAGAGGGAUGGAGAGGGGCUGGGGGGGGGGGGGCAAAGCCGGGACAGGGCUGGGCUCCUGCCAGCUGCGGGCAGGGAUGGGCAGGGAUAGGCACUGCCGGCAGGAGAAGGGUGCCAAGGCACCCAGCGCUGGCACCCUCAGGUCCCGUGUCCCCCCCCCCAGUGUGGGAGCUGCCAGCCCCCCCCGGGUUGUGCAAUGGUGCCAGCUUCCCCCCCCAAAAAAAAGAAAAACGAUUGUGCAAUAGCCCAGCCGCAGGGUGGCUACCAACCCCCCAAAACGCUUGUGUAAUGGCCCAGCUGCAGCGGGGCUCCUGCCCCCCCCGCAGCACUGCCCCCAGCACCCACUGCGGGCACCGCUGCAGCCCCCUGCACUGCUGCGUGCCCCCCCAGUGCUGCCCCAAAUAACUCCCCCCGCCCAGCCCCGCUCCAUCCUGCCCGGCCCAGGGCAUUGUGGGAAACUCCCGUCCGCGCUGCAUCCCCUCCCUCAGCACGGCCCGGAGGCGCGGGGGGGGCACCCCGGGGUGCAGACCCCCCACUUCUGCCCCACAGCCGUGCCCCCCCUCCUCGGCUGAGCCCCCAGGCAUCAGUCCCUGCACCCCCAAAGCGGGCAUGGACCCCCCCAUCCCUCCCACCCCACUGCACCCCAGCCGGGGCAGGGGCACCCCAGGGAGCACCCUCGGGGGGGACCCCUGGGUCCCCUGCUUGGGGGGGGGUCCGGGGGGGGCUUUCAGGACUGGCUGAGACUGGCGAAAGCUCAUUGCAGGGAAGGGAAGGAUGAGGGAAGGGA
This 1185-nucleotide long non-coding RNA is filed under the name Accipiter nisus (Eurasian sparrowhawk). Its description in RNAcentral is "lncRNA (ENSANIG00000014027.1)". Lineage: Eukaryota; Metazoa; Chordata; Aves; Accipitriformes; Accipitridae. The record is from RNAcentral.